Fukomys damarensis (Damara mole-rat) is the source of this 1208-nucleotide long non-coding RNA. RefSeq lists it as uncharacterized. The record is from RefSeq and is a predicted model, not a curated record. The transcript has 3 exons. NCBI's taxonomy places the organism in Eukaryota, Metazoa, Chordata, Mammalia, Rodentia, Bathyergidae.
CUGGGCCCUAUGGUGGUGGAGGCCAGUACUUUGCCAAACCACGAAAUCAAGGUGGCUAUGGCGGUUCCAGCAGCAGCAGUAGCUAUGGAAGUGGCAGAAGGUUUUAAUACUGCCAGGAAACAAAGCUUAGCAGGAGAGGAGAGCCAGAGAAGUGACAGGGAAGCUACAGGUUACAACAGAUUUGUGAACUCAGCCAAGCACAGUGGUGGCAGGGCCUAGCUGCUACAAAGAAGACAUGUUUUAGACAAUACUCAUGUGUAUGGGCAAAAAAAACUCGAGGACUGUAUUUGUGACUAAUUGUAUAACAGGUUAUUUUAGUUUCUGUUCUGAGGAAAGUGUAAAGCAUUCCAACAAAAGGUUUUAAUGUAGACUUUUUUUUUGCACCCAUGCUGUUGAUUGCUAAAUGUAAUAGUCUGAUCAUGACGCUGAAUAAAUGUGUCUUUUUUUUAAAUGUGCUGUGUAAAGUUAGUCUACUCUGAAGCCAUCUUGGUAAACAUCCCCAACAGUGUGAAGUUAGAAUUCCUUCAGGUUGAUGCCAGGUUCCAUUUAAAAUUUCUUCACAAUUGCUUGGGUAAUGAAGCCGUUGUCUUCAGAAACCUUGGUGUAGUUGAACUGACAAUUACUGUUGUGACCUGAAUUUGACCAUUGAAAAGGUCACCCAAGCAAGCAGAGUCAGUUACUUACUUGGUUAUAAAAAUGAUUGUUGGCACAUCCUAUACAAUAUCUAAAUUGAAUAAUGGUACCAGAUAAAAUGAUAGAUGGGAUUGAAGCUGUGUAUCAUCCAUUAUCAUGUGUAAUCAAUAAACGAUUUAAUUCUCUUGAAUGGAAUGACAACUGUAUGGAUUUGGGACUGGCAGAGAUUUGUACUUUUUUCCCUACCCAUUCAUUGCCCCUGAUAAAUGUUGAAUGCUUCUAUCACAAUACAAGUUCAAAGCUCUGCCAGAGAAUAGCAACCAGCUGCUGGCUAAAGCUGCCCCAUAAAUCCAGAUUAGAAAUUUUGGGAAGCUUUUUUUUUUUUUUUUUUAAGUUACAAGUACUAGUAAGAAUUUUAAUCAACAAAUAGUUUUACAUUAAAGGAAAACUGCAGUUUUGCUGGGUCGUGGGUGGGUGGGUCUUCAGGUCAGGUCAAUUAUUUGGAGAUUAAAGCCAAGAAAUAAUUUUCUGCAUGAUUUCAUGUUCACUGCAGUUUUCCUUUAAAUAUGGCACAA